RNAcentral lists this long non-coding RNA (1637 nucleotides) under Phasianus colchicus (ring-necked pheasant). RNAcentral describes it as "lncRNA (ENSPCLG00000017625.1)". The record is from RNAcentral. Lineage: Eukaryota; Metazoa; Chordata; Aves; Galliformes; Phasianidae.
CUAUGGGGCACAGCUCAGCACCACCCAAUGACGUCAGCCCCUCCCAAUGACGUCACCACCCAAUGACGUCACCCCGCGCCAUGACGUCACAGCGGCACUUCCGUUUAUUACAAGCGAUCGUUUGGCCCCAAAUCCGCCCCUCCCCCCCACACCUCCGCCCCACAGCGCCGCCGCAGCCAUUCAGUGGGGCAGGACACCACUUGUGGGGCAGAGACUCACUUAUGGGGCAGAUCCCACUUAUGGGGCAGAGACUCACUUGUGGGUCACUGUCACACUUAUGGGUCACUGUCACACUUAUGGGUCGCAGCUCCACUUGUGGGUCGCAGCUCCACUUGUGGGUCAGUCCGUGGGUCCGUCCGUGUCUUCCUUUAUGGGCCCACAUCCACUUGUGGGGCAGCGCUAUGGGGCAGAGCUUCACUUAUGGGGCACGGUCCCACUUGUGGGGCAGACCCCCACUUAUGGGGCAGGGCUCAACUUAUGGGUCAGUCCGUGUGGGUCGCGGCCCCACUUAUGGGUCGCAGCUCCACUUGUGGGUCGGAUCCCAGUUGUGGGGCAGAGCCGCACUUAUGGGACAGAGCUCCACUUGUGGGGCAGGGCUCAACUUAUGGGUCGCAGCUCCACUUGUGGGUCAGUGCGUGGGUCCAUCCAUGUCCUCCCGUGGGUCCACAUCCACUUGUGGGGCAGAGCUAUGGGGCAGAGCUUCACUUGUGGGUCAGAGCUCCACUUGUGGGUCAGAGCUCCACUUAUGGGUCAGUCCGUGGGUCCGUCCGUGUUUUCAUUUCUGGGCCCACAUCCACUUGUGGGGCAGAGCCACGGAGUGCAGCUAUGGGGCAGCGCUAUGGGGCAGGGUCCCACUUGUGGGGCAGGGCUUCACUUAUGGGUCAGAGCUUCACGUACUUCUGGGGCAGCGCCCCACUUAGGGGUCACGGUCCCACUUAUGGGUCAGUCUGUAUGGGGUGGCGCUGUGGGGCAGAGCCAUGGAGGGUCGCUAUGGGGCAGAGCCCCACUUAUGGGGCAGAGCGUCACUUAUGGGUCUGAGCCCCACUUGUGGGUCAGUCUGUGUGGGUCAGAGCCUCACUUAUGGGGCAGAGCCCCACUUGUGGGUCAGUCUGUGUGGGUCAGAGCCCCACUUAUGGGGCAGAGCCCACUUAUGGGUCAGUCUGUGUGGAUUAAUGCCCUACUUAUGGGGCACAGCCCCACUUGUGGGUCUGCGUGGGUCAGAACCUCACUUAUGGGGCAGAGCCGCACUUAUGGGUCACAGCCCCACUUAUGGGUCACAGCCCCACUUAUGGGGCAGAGCCCCACUUAUGGGUCUGAGCCUCACUUGUGGGUCAGUCUGUGUGGGUUAAUGCCCUACUUAUGGGUCAGAUCCCACUUGUGGGUCAGAUCCCACUUAUGGGUCAGGGCCCCACUUAUGGGUCACAGCCCCACUUAUGGGGCAGAGCUCCACUUGUGGGUCACACCUCCAUUUAUGGGUCACAGCCCCUGUGACCUAUGGGGCAAAGGCUGACCUAUGGGGCAGAGACGCAGCUAUGGGGCAGAGAUCCUCAUCUAUGGGGCGGAGACCCAUCUAUGGGGCAGAGACCCUCAUCUAUGGGGCAGAGAUCCUCAUCUAUGGGGUGGAGGCUCUGACCUGC